UACUAUGAACUUGACUUUGAUGC
This 23-nucleotide non-coding RNA is filed under the name Rattus norvegicus (Norway rat). The record is from RNAcentral. Lineage: Eukaryota; Metazoa; Chordata; Mammalia; Rodentia; Muridae.